Molecule: ribosomal RNA, 433 nt
Filed under: uncultured bacterium
Lineage: Bacteria
Description: partial 16S ribosomal RNA
Rfam family: Bacterial small subunit ribosomal RNA
Source: RNAcentral
AACGAACGCUGGCGGCAUGCCUAACACAUGCAAGUCGAACGAGACCUUCGGGUCUAGUGGCGCACGGGUGCGUAACGCGUGGGAACCUGCCCUUAGGUUCGGAAUAACUCCCCGAAAGGGGUGCUAAUACCGGAUAAUGUCUUCGGACCAAAGAUUUAUCGCCUUUGGAUGGGCCCGCGUUGGAUUAGCUAGUUGGUAGGGUAAAAGCCUACCAAGGCGACGAUCCAUAGCUGGUCUGAGAGGAUGAUCAGCCACACUGGGACUGAGACACGGCCCAGACUCCUACGCGAGGCAGCAGUGGGGAAUAUUGGACAAUGGGCGAAAGCAUGAUCCAGCAAUGCCGCGUGAGUGAUGAAGGCCUUAGGGUUGUAAAGCUCUUUUACCCGGGAUGAUAAUGACAGUACCGGGAGAAUAAGCUCCGGCUAACUCCGUG